GGUCCCUAAUACGGAUUGCUAAUGACGGUACCUGAAGAAGAAGCACCGGCUAACUACGUGCCAGCAGCCGCGGUAAUACGUAGGGUGCGAGCGUUAAUCGGAAUUACUGGGGCGUAAAGCGUGCGCAGGCGGUUAUGUAAGACAGAUGUGAAAUCCCCCGGGGCUUAACCUGGGAACUGCGUUUGUGACUGCAUAACUCGAGUGUGGCAGAGGGGGGUGGAAUUCCACGUGUAGCAGUGAAAUGCGUAGAGAUGUGGAGGAACACCGAUGGCGAAGGCAGCCCCCUGGGUCAACACUGACGCUCAUGCACGAAAGCGUGGGGAGCAAACAGGAUUAGAUACCCUGGUAGUCCACGCCCUAAACGAUGCGAACUAGGUGUUGGGGAAGGAGACUUUCUUAGUACCGCAGCUAACGCGUGAAGUUCGCCGCCUGGGGAGUACGGUCGCAAGAUUAAAACUCAAAGGAAUUGACGGGGACCCGCACAAGCGGUGGAUGAUGUGGAUUAAUUCGAUGCAACGCGAAAAACCUUAC
Molecule: ribosomal RNA, 531 nt
Filed under: uncultured bacterium
Lineage: Bacteria
Description: bacterial SSU rRNA
Rfam family: Bacterial small subunit ribosomal RNA
Source: RNAcentral